Molecule: long non-coding RNA, 2148 nt
Filed under: Salmo salar (Atlantic salmon)
Lineage: Eukaryota; Metazoa; Chordata; Actinopteri; Salmoniformes; Salmonidae
Description: lncRNA (ENSSSAG00000073213.2)
Rfam family: UnaL2 LINE 3' element (bases 28-81)
Source: RNAcentral
GGUUGUUCCACUGGAUAUCAUAAGGUGAAUGCACCAAUUUGUAAGUCGCUCUGGAUAAGAGCGUCUGCUAAAUGACUUAAAUGUAAAUGUAAAUGUAAAAAAAUAAAGGGAACACUUAAACAACACAUCCUAGAUCUGAAUGAAAGAAAUAAUCUUAUUAAAUACUUUUUUCUUUACAUAGUUGAAUGUGCUGACAACAAAAUCACACAAAAAGAAUCAAUGGAAAUCCAAUUUAUCAACCCAUGGAGGUCUGGAUUUGGAGUCACACUGAAAAUUAAAGUGGAAAACCACACUACAGGCUGAUCCAACUUUGAUGUAAUGUCCUUAAAACAAGUCAAAAUGAGGCUCAGUAGUGUGUGUGGCCUCCACGUGCCUGUAUGACCUCCCUACAACGCCUGGGCAUGCUCCUGAUGAGGUGGCGGAUGGUCUCCUGAGGGAUCUCCUCCCAGACCUGGACUAAAGCCAUUUAUUGACAUUUAUUGUCAAUCAGUGUUGCUUCCUAAGUGGACAGUUUGAUUUCACAGAAGUGUGAUUGACUUGGAGUUACAUUGUGUUGUUUAAGUGUUCCCUUUAUUUUUUUGAGCAGUGUAUAUAGAAAUGAUAGAAAUGUAUCACGGGCCAGAUUUGGCCCGCGGGCCUUGUGUAUGACACGUGGUGUUACAUAUAGGACUAUCUGUCAGGUACAAUAAUGAUUCAGGUCAGUUUUAUUCAUUGCAUUAUAAUCUGAAAUGUUCUGACCCUGUCUAAGUCUCUUGAGGGCUGGUAUUUUGCUAGGAUGUGAAAUGAUUGCGACUGCAUGUCUUGGUUUGUCGCCCUCCCUCUGUCAUCUGCAGAAUAACUACAGGGAGUGUCUGACCCAAGGAGAUAAACUCAGGGAUUUGAAAGGUCGUCGCUCAUCCAGGUCUGCCACCACUUCACGGUUGAAUUUGACAAAGACCAGUCAGACCUCUAUCACCCCUCCCAAGUGUUCCAAGUUAUCUCAGGUCCCUGUCCCCUUCUCCUCCUCCUCUUCUCCCAAGAGGCUGGGGCAAAGCUCCUCAUCCUCAGCUAGUAACCUUAAGAGUCCCUUUAGCCUGAGUAUGUUCAGCUCUAAGGCUACUGCAAUUCACUGAGCCCGCGUUGAUCACUGACUUUUCACCUUUGACCUUCUGACCUUCCAGUUGACCCCAGGAGACAGGAGGUUAACCCCCUCAACCGCUGGAGAAAUGUGCACAAUUGUCUCUGUUAUAAAUGCACGUUAAAUGACAUUUAAUAAUACAACAAAAAAAUCGAAUCCACCCCUGAGACACUGUAAAAAUCCUCUUUGUAACAAUUGGAUUUCUAGACAUGAUCUCGUUUCAAUCAAUGUAAUUGUUUGAUUUCAAAAUGGGUUUGUUAUCAUUUUAAUUGUGUGCAAGGAGAUUCUUUAUCAUGGCUUUCUCUUUCUCUUAUUCAGUUAUUUAAUUAUCUAUUGUUUGAUUGACCCUGUAAAAGAGGACAUAUCCUACUGUACACUCAAUUGAUUCAUGAGUGGCUGUCUUAUGAAUGUUGUCGUUCAGGAGAUACAUUUGUUUUAUGUGAAUACAUAUUUGGAUUGUAGCAGAAGUGACUCUGGUUGAGCACUUUUUUUCUGACUUGUUUUUACGACUCUGUUGUUGACAGGCUUGAGACAAUUGUUUGUUUUAAAUAACUUUAAGUAGUAGGCCUGUAUGGUGUUUAUGGAGUGUAUUUCUGCAAACUUUGCAGAAAUACUAUUGGUACAUUGUCAUUUAAAUUUGAUUAAAAACAUUCCUUGUCAAAAUAAGUUGUCUUUCUCUGCAAAUGUGAUUUGACUCAUAAACAUGGCAGGUUAAGACACAUUUUUCGGCUUAUAUGAAUAUCUCCAACUCAGUAAGAUGGGGACCAUGUAUAGCAGUUGUAAGGGCAGGAAAUCAACAGAUGUCAAGGCAGAUUGAAGUGCUACCUUUUUUUAUUUUUUUUGUUUGCAGAUCUUGUGUUUACACAGUCAGCCCAAUUCUGAUAUUUUUUUCCCGCUAAUUGGUAUUUUAUGAUCAAUCAGAUUUCUUCACAAGAUGUUUUUCAGAAUUUAUCUGAUUGAUCAAAAUACCAAUUAGUGAAAAAAGUAUCAGAAUUGGGCUGCCUGUGUAAACGCAGCCUUAGUGAUCCAAU